RNAcentral lists this transfer RNA (68 nucleotides) under Marmota monax (woodchuck). Its description in RNAcentral is "tRNA.Ala". The record is from RNAcentral. Lineage: Eukaryota; Metazoa; Chordata; Mammalia; Rodentia; Sciuridae.
GAUGUGGCUCAGUGGUAGAGUUCUUGCCUGGCAUGUCUGAGGGCCUGAGUUCCAUCCCCAGCAAAACA